RNAcentral lists this ribosomal RNA (440 nucleotides) under uncultured bacterium. RNAcentral's name for it is "partial 16S ribosomal RNA". It matches the Rfam family "Bacterial small subunit ribosomal RNA", at positions 338 to 795 of the family's 1533-position model. The record is from RNAcentral.
CCUACGGGUGGCAGCAGUGGGGAAUAUUGCACAAUGGGGGAAACCCUGAUGCAGCGACGCCGCGUGAGUGAAGAAGUAUUUCGGUACGUAAAGCUCUAUCAGCAGGGAAGAAAAUGACGGUACCUGACUAAGAAGCCCCGGCUAACUACGGUCCAGCAGCCGCGGUAAUACGGAGGGGGCCAGGGUUAUCCGGGUUUACUGGGGGUAAAGGGAGCGUAGACGGCGGCGCAAGUCUGGAGUGAACUCCCAGGGCUUAACCAUGGAACUGCUUUGGAAACUGUGCCGCUAGAGUGCAGGAGAGGUAAGCGGAAUUCCUAGUGUAGCGGUGAAAUGCGUAGAUAUUAGGAGGAACACCAGUGGCGAAGGCGGCUUACUGGACUGUAACUGACGUUGAGGCUCGAAAGCGUGGGGAGCAAACAGGAUUAGAUACCCGUGUAGUC